Molecule: ribosomal RNA, 228 nt
Filed under: uncultured bacterium
Lineage: Bacteria
Description: partial 16S ribosomal RNA
Rfam family: Bacterial small subunit ribosomal RNA
Source: RNAcentral
UGAGUAACACGUAUCCAACCUGCCGUCUACUCUUGGCCAGCCUUCUGAAGGAAGAUUAAUCCAGGAUGGCAUCAUGAGUUCACAUGUCCGCAUGAUUAAAGGUAUUUUCCGGUAGACGAUGGGGAUGCGUUCCAUUAGAUAGUAGGCGGGGCAACGGCCCACCUAGUCAACGAUGGAUAGGGGUUCUGAGAGGAAGGUCCCCCACAUUGGAACUGAGACACGGUCCAA